GACAAUGUAAAUCUUGUCAUCAAAUUAAUCCAAGGUACUCAAUCCCUUUAAAAAAAAAAUUUACAAAGCAAAAAUCACUUUUUUAAAUUUAUUGCAUAACGAAUGUAUUAGGGCUAUAUUAAAAGAAAGAUCAGAUACAUGUGUUGUUUAAUGAAUUAUAUGAAAAGUCGGAGGAAGUAUAUAUAUGCAAAACCUCAUGAACAUAUGUAACUAUAUAUGUAUAUGCAGGUGCUUGAUUAGCAACGAAAAGAGGCUUGCGCAAGUAGCCGUGAACUCGAUGAUGAUGUGUUUUCUAUUGCUAAUCUAUCCAGCACUAGAUAAAUUAUCUGAUGAUCAAUUCCUGACAAUCUUCAAUGACACCUUCGUGACAAUCUUUGUCAUCGUACCUGUUUUAUGUUAUCAAUCAAACAUGUAUUAUUUAACAAUAAAAAACCCUAUUAACAAAAAUAUUUUCCCAAUCUUAUACGUACUACUGCUAUCAAGUGCAACAACAGUUAUAGAAUUGAGCUUUGUUUCGCAGAUUGCUGCUACCACCAUUUUUAUCUCAUGGGCGAUCUUAAU
RNAcentral lists this long non-coding RNA (561 nucleotides) under Trifolium pratense (red clover). Its description in RNAcentral is "long non-coding RNA (TPRA_LNC010273)". Lineage: Eukaryota; Viridiplantae; Streptophyta; Magnoliopsida; Fabales; Fabaceae. The record is from RNAcentral.